UACGUAUGGUGCAAGCGUUAUCCGGAUUUACUGGGUGUAAAGGGAGCGCAGGCGGCGCGUUAAGCCUGGUGUGAAAGCCCGCGGCCCAACCGCGGGACUGCAUUGGGAACUGGCGCGCUGGAGUGCCGGAGGGGUAGGCGGAAUUCCUAGUGUAGCGGUGAAAUGCGUAGAUAUUAGGAGGAACACCAGUGGCGAAGGCGGCCUACUGGACGGUGACUGACGCUGAGGCUCAAAAGCGUGGGGAGCAAACAGG
Molecule: ribosomal RNA, 253 nt
Filed under: uncultured bacterium
Lineage: Bacteria
Description: partial 16S ribosomal RNA
Rfam family: Bacterial small subunit ribosomal RNA
Source: RNAcentral